CCAGAGGUAGCUCAGAUGGUUAGAGCGCACGACUGAUAAUCGUGAAGUCAGAGGUUCGAAUCCUCUUUUCUGGACCA
RNAcentral lists this transfer RNA (77 nucleotides) under compost metagenome. Its description in RNAcentral is "tRNA-Ile". It matches the Rfam family "tRNA". Rfam says of the family: Transfer RNA (tRNA) molecules are approximately 80 nucleotides in length. The record is from RNAcentral.